CCAUGUUGUUAAUCUUUGUAUUGGGCUGUAAUGGCGUCCGCAUCUAAAUGUUCAUCUCACUGCUCCGCUAUCAAUUGUUCUAAUCGUAAAUCUAAACGACCAGAGCUGUCAUUCUUUAGGUUCCCCGAUAAAAAAGAAAGAUGUCAACGGUGGGUCCAGAAUACUCGUCGACAAGAUCUCCUACACCGAACUACGGAGUACUUGUCAGCCAACUGUUGUCUUUGUUCUUUACGCUUUGAACUUGACCAGUUUUCCAACAAGCAGACCAAGAACAGGCUAAAUUGGAAUGCAGUUCCAACGCUCUUCGACAUUCCUAACCCGCCGAAACGUCUGUCUUACCAACGCAGGUUACUCAAGAGGACGAAUGAGAACCUCCCAUCCUCACCAACGCCUUUAAAACAGCAAAGAGGCAAGUAAUUUUCUCCUUUUUAAAAUAAA
Molecule: long non-coding RNA, 438 nt
Organism: Amblyraja radiata (thorny skate)
Lineage: Eukaryota; Metazoa; Chordata; Chondrichthyes; Rajiformes; Rajidae
Exons: 3
Source: RefSeq, a predicted model, not a curated record